GAAUGGAUUAAGAGCUUGCUCUUAUGAAGUUAGCGGCGGACGGGUGAGUAACACGUGGGUAACCUGCCCAUAAGACUGGGAUAACUCCGGGAAACCGGGGCUAAUACCGGAUAACAUUUUGAACCGCAUGGUUCGAAAUUGAAAGGCGGCUUCGGCUGUCACUUAUGGAUGGACCCGCGUCGCAUUAGCUAGUUGGUGAGGUAACGGCUCACCAAGGCAACGAUGCGUAGCCGACCUGAGAGGGUGAUCGGCCACACUGGGACUGAGACACGGCCCAGACUCCUACGGGAGGCAGCAGUAGGGAAUCUUCCGCAAUGGACGAAAGUCUGACGGAGCAACGCCGCGUGAGUGAUGAAGGCUUUCGGGUCGUAAAACUCUGUUGUUAGGGAAGAACAAGUGCUAGUUGAAUAAGCUGGCACCUUGACGGUACCUAACCAGAAAGCCACGGCUAACUACGUGCCAGCAGCCGCGGUAAUACGUAGGUGGCAAGCGUUAUCCGGAAUUAUUGGGCGUAAAGCGCGCGCAGGUGGUUUCUUAAGUCUGAUGUGAAAGCCCACGGCUCAACCGUGGAGGGUCAUUGGAAACUGGGAGACUUGAGUGCAGAAGAGGAAAGUGGAAUUCCAUGUGUAGCGGUGAAAUGCGUAGAGA
RNAcentral lists this ribosomal RNA (648 nucleotides) under Bacillus cereus. Its description in RNAcentral is "bacterial SSU rRNA". It matches the Rfam family "Bacterial small subunit ribosomal RNA", at positions 68 to 696 of the family's 1533-position model. The record is from RNAcentral. Lineage: Bacteria; Bacillati; Bacillota; Bacilli; Caryophanales; Bacillaceae.